Long non-coding RNA from Brienomyrus brachyistius, 1739 nucleotides. RefSeq lists it as uncharacterized. The transcript is spliced from 3 exons. Lineage: Eukaryota; Metazoa; Chordata; Actinopteri; Osteoglossiformes; Mormyridae. The record is from RefSeq and is a predicted model, not a curated record.
UUAAGCUUUAAAAGGUUUAAAGGUUUGACCCAGAUGUAUUGUGGGAAAUUAAUGCGAGCGUUCACGCUCCGACAGAUUCUCUCAAGCCCGCACUUAGGAUAUAAAUGCAGAGAUGCUCUGCACCUUGCAAUCUACAACAGGCGAGCUGGAUUCACCUGAGCACUGGGGGUUUGUGUCGCGGCAACCAGGCGACGGAGCUCCAUGACUGGCAGGAAAUGGAAAUGAAGGCUGGGCUACCUUCCCAUGGCUCAGUAUGUCAAGUUUGUUUAAUUAGUUCAUGUCAGCACUAGGGCAGAGCAGGAAUUCCCCUGCUUAUUUUUUUUUGAGUGCUUCAUCCCUUUUCAUGAGUGGAAUCCUUCUGCUUGGAGUGAAUUUUAAUCAAGAUAUUUUUAGUCAGCCACCUUUCCAUGACUACGCCAUGCCAAGUGUGAGCUCCCACAACUGAGUUCUAAGGAUUGAGCCAGUUUGCGGCACUCAGGAAGCAAUCUGGCCUCCUGAACUGUAAUUCGGGAUGGUCGACCUUAUCCUGUGCGUGACCAAGAAGCUUCAACAUAACAGACAUGCAACAAGACGGGCCAGGAAAAAACGAGGUUAUGCAAAGCAGUUACCAGCUAAUUUCCUGCUACAUUGGCUGCGGAUUCCGAGGUAUCCAUCCGUCUACUGUGUCCUCCUCAAGAUUCAAAUCGCUCUGCGUAGCCUGGAGUCCUGGAUGGGCUCCCUUCACCUUUUCUUGCUUUUAUAUUGUCUUUCCAUGACCAUGCCGUCUGUUGCCUUGUUAUUUAUACCUUCUUAUACUCCAUUGGCACGCGGUUUUAUAGGGGUAACAGUGUGACCAUGUGUUUCAAAUGUUACUAUGUGCACUUAAACACAAAGCAUCAGGGAAUUGUUCCGGCCUUAAUUUAAAAAACAUUAUCCUACAUUUCAUUUUUCAUUACCAUGUGUAAUACUGUUCCUUGCACAUCCCACUGGAUACUUUACAUACCUGACCACAUAAAUAUUUACCACCCAAUAUCGCACAUUUGCAUUUCCAUUUACUCAUUGUUUUCUCCCAAAAGUGAAAACAUUCAGGUCAUUAGAUAAAGUGACUAGCGCUUCAAAGGCCCUCAAAUCAGUUAGGGUUGGGUCAUUCAGGUCCAGAGUUAUAGUCCAAACUGGGAUUUUGUUUCAACCAACCAGUUGAGUACUCUAUGAUUGUGGCUCAUUAUGCUCCGCUGGUUAGUAAACACCCCAGUAGGAUAAGCGGUUUGGAAAAUGGAUGGAUGGUUAGUAAACAAAAUCUUGGUCUCAACUUUUACUCUCUGGACCUGAAUUACCCAACUCUACUUAUGGUAUACAUGUGCUUUUUGGGUUCAUAUAUAACAUGGACUCAAGAAAACUAUGGAACUGGCUGUCGCUCAAUUUUAUUGUGAAAACAGCAGUCAGUCAAACACAUUCAGGUUACAUUUGGUAGCUUUGGACACUGCAGAACAUAUAUCAACUUAAUGGCAAUUUGCUAAGUGCAGUCAAGCUCAGAGAUGAUUCUCUGCAAGGCUUCUGGGGGGUUUCUGAAGGGAACAAGCACUCAUGAUCUCACUGUGAAGGCCAAUAUGAAGGAGCCGAAGAUGAUUAAAAGAUACCACACUGUUUACUAGUAGCAUUACUUCUUGAUAUGUGUCAACAAACAGGUAAUACAAUAGACAUUACAAUAUGCAUUCAUUAACUGCAUUGUUGCUAAUGCUGGUUUCUAGCUGUUUGUAUAU